Molecule: ribosomal RNA, 253 nt
Filed under: uncultured bacterium
Lineage: Bacteria
Description: partial 16S ribosomal RNA
Rfam family: Bacterial small subunit ribosomal RNA
Source: RNAcentral
GACAGAGGGUGCAAACGUUGUUCGGAAUUACGGAGCGUAAAGCGCGUGUAGGCGGCUAAGUAAGUCGGGCGUGAAAUCCCACGGCUCAACCGUGGAAGUGCACUCGAAACUGCAUAGCUAGAGUCCUGGAGAGGAAGGUGGAAUGCUUGGUGUAGAGGUGAAAUUCGUAGAUAUCAAGCGGAACACCGGUGGCGAAGGCGGCCUUCUGGACAGUGACUGACGCUGAGACGCGAAAGCGUGGGGAGCAAACAGG